UACGUGCCAGCAGCCGCGGUAAUACGGAAGGUCCAGGCGUUAUCCGGAUUUAUUGGGUUUAAAGGGAGCGUAGGCGGACGAUUAAGUCAGCUGUGAAAGUUUGUGGCUCAACCGUAAAAUUGCAGUUGAAACUGGUUGUCUUGAGUGCACGCAGGGAUGUUGGAAUUCAUGGUGUAGCGGUGAAAUGCUUAGAUAUCAUGAAGAACUCCGAUCGCGAAGGCAUAUGUCCGGAGUGCAACUGACGCUGAGGCUCGAAAGUGCGGGUAUCGAACAGGAUUAGAUACCCUGGUAGUCCGCACAGUAAACGAUGAAUACUCGCAGUAUGCGAUAUAGUGUAUGCUGCCAAGUGAAAACGUUAAGUAUUCCACCUGGGGAGUACGCCGGCAACGGUGAAACUCAAAGGAAUUGACGGGGGCCCGCACAAGCGGAGGAACAUGUGGUUUAAUUCGAUGAUACGCGAGGAACCUUACCCGGGCUUGAAC
This 482-nucleotide ribosomal RNA is filed under the name uncultured bacterium. Its description in RNAcentral is "bacterial SSU rRNA". It matches the Rfam family "Bacterial small subunit ribosomal RNA", at positions 502 to 986 of the family's 1533-position model. The record is from RNAcentral.